RNAcentral lists this long non-coding RNA (430 nucleotides) under Nicotiana tabacum (common tobacco). RNAcentral's name for it is "long non-coding RNA (NTAB_LNC010123)". Lineage: Eukaryota; Viridiplantae; Streptophyta; Magnoliopsida; Solanales; Solanaceae. The record is from RNAcentral.
CUGAGUUUGGAUGACGCGAAACAAGAGCAGCUGGGUGCGUUCGCUCAUGAAGAAACCAUGGACGACGAGCUGGAACAGAUGCAACUCGCGUCCAAGUAAACACAUGCAACUCAGCCAUGAACGAUGAAGCUGGAAAAGUUGAAACUCUAAUACUGACCAACUGGGGAAAAGUUCAGUUUAGGGUUGGGACCCUAAUGCUGACUAAAGGAAAAGUUCAGUUUAGGGUUUAAAACCCUAAUGCUGAUUAAAGGAAAAGUUCAGUUUAUGGUUUAAAACCCUAAUGCUGACUGAAUGGGAAAGAGUUCAGUUUAGGGUUUAAAACCCUAAUGCUGACUAAAGGGAAAAGUUCAGUUUAGGGUUUAAAACCCUAAUGCUGACUGAAAGGAAAAUGUUCAGUUUUAGGGUUUAAAACCCUAAUACUGACUAAAGG